This 195-nucleotide ribosomal RNA is filed under the name Triticum aestivum (bread wheat). RNAcentral describes it as "partial small subunit ribosomal RNA". Lineage: Eukaryota; Viridiplantae; Streptophyta; Magnoliopsida; Poales; Poaceae. The record is from RNAcentral.
AUGGGUUCGGUCCGUCUUUUCCUGAUCUUUGUUUGUCCCCCCAAAAAAGGCGUGAGAGGACGUUGCAGAUGUCCGGGACGGACACGACUUCUUCUAACGCUAGAAGACCACAGGAAGAAACCCGGGACCAGAGCAUGUCGUGAAAGACGCACACGGGGCGGGCGUGCUUCGACUGUGUCUCCGAGGCACAGUUGA